RNAcentral lists this ribosomal RNA (788 nucleotides) under uncultured Lactobacillus sp. Its description in RNAcentral is "bacterial SSU rRNA". It matches the Rfam family "Bacterial small subunit ribosomal RNA", at positions 28 to 776 of the family's 1533-position model. Lineage: Bacteria; Bacillati; Bacillota; Bacilli; Lactobacillales; Lactobacillaceae. The record is from RNAcentral.
GACGAACGCUGGCGGCGUGCCUAAUACAUGCAAGUCGAGCGAGCUUGCCUAGAUGAAUUUGGUGCUUGCACCAAAUGAAACUAGAUACAAGCGAGCGGCGGACGGGUGAGUAACACGUGGGUAACCUGCCCAAGAGACUGGGAUAAUACCUGGAAACAGAUGCUAAUACCGGAUAACAACACUAGACGCAUGUCUAGAGUUUAAAAGAUGGUUCUGCUAUCACUCUUGGAUGGGCCUGCGGUGCAUUAGCUAGUUGGUAAGGUAACGGCUUACCAAGGCAAUGAUGCAUAGCCGAGUUGAGAGACUGAUCGGCCACAUUGGGACUGAGACACGGCCCAAACUCCUACGGGAGGCAGCAGUAGGGAAUCUUCCACAAUGGACGCAAGUCUGAUGGAGCAACGCCGCGUGAGUGAAGAAGGGUUUCGGCUCGUAAAGCUCUGUUGGUAGUGAAGAAAGAUAGAGGUAGUAACUGGCCUUUAUUUGACGGUAAUUACUUAGAAAGUCACGGCUAACUACGUGCCAGCAGCCGCGGUAAUACGUAGGUGGCAAGCGUUGUCCGGAUUUAUUGGGCGUAAAGCGAGUGCAGGCGGUUCAAUAAGUCUGAUGUGAAAGCCUUCGGCUCAACCGGAGAAUUGCAUCAGAAACUGUUGAACUUGAGUGCAGAAGAGGAGAGUGGAACUCCAUGUGUAGCGGUGGAAUGCGUAGAUAUAUGGAAGAACACCAGUGGCGAAGGCGGCUCUCUGGUCUGCAACUGACGCUGAGGCUCGAAAGCAUGGGUAGCGAACAGG